This is a long non-coding RNA of Canis lupus familiaris (dog), 693 nucleotides long. RefSeq lists it as uncharacterized. The transcript has 3 exons. The record is from RefSeq and is a predicted model, not a curated record. Lineage: Eukaryota; Metazoa; Chordata; Mammalia; Carnivora; Canidae.
AGAGAAAAGCUAGCGUGGCAAAUGUCAAGGUUGGCUGUCUGUUCAGGCAGGGAGAGUAAAAAUGGAAUAACUCUUUAAUCGGGUAAGUAAGCAGUAUUCCCUUCGCACCUGACCCCAGCUUCCACCAGCACCAUUUUUUGGAUAGUCCAUGAAAGGAGGAGCACCUAGUUCACAGCCUCCAAAGUCAGGAUUUUCCAUCAAAUAACCCCAGCUGACGUUCUCCGGUGCACUGCCCUCUGCAGAACCCUCCAGCUGUGGCUCCACUGAGGUGACAUAUGAGAAGACGCCAGCUGUGGGGGAAACCUUCCCAGGCUGAGGGAAAUCCAAGUGCAAAACUCCGGAAAAAUGUCUUGGCAUGCCUGAUAGACAGGAGCUCCUGGAAUGUGGCUGGUUCUGGAAUUUAUGAUUUGGUCAAGGAUCGUGUCAAAUUGUAGUGGCAUAGAAAGCUGGCACAAGAGGAGGCCUCAGCAAUAAUUUAGCACAAACAAGGAAACAGCACAGAGAUGCUACAUGAUUUUCCAAAGGCCACACAGCAAGUUAAAUCCAUUCCAGGGCUCAUAUCAGUUGGCAGCCAAACCCCAAAAGUCCUCUCUGUGUGGACUGGCUUCUGCAGUUUUCUCCUGGAAGGAAAAAAAAUAAAACAACUAUAAAUAAAAUCUCAAUAAGCCACACAUUGAAUGCUCACCUUUGCUU